RNAcentral lists this unclassified non-coding RNA (189 nucleotides) under Glomus sp. RNAcentral's name for it is "partial contains 5.8S ribosomal RNA and internal transcribed spacer 2". The stretch from base 1 to 72 matches the Rfam family "5.8S ribosomal RNA", at positions 84 to 154 of the family's 154-position model. The record is from RNAcentral. Lineage: Eukaryota; Fungi; Glomeromycota; Glomeromycetes; Glomerales; Glomeraceae.
GUGAAUCAUCAAAUUUUUGAACGCAAAUUGCACUCUCCGGUUUUCCGGGAGAGUAUGCCUGUUUGAGGGUCUGUUUAAAAAAUAAUCGAGGCUGCUGCUGUGGUGGCCCUCCGGAUUUGGGCCAUCUUCCACCUUUCGGGGUUGUAAGCGCCCUAAAUUUUUUCUUCCGUUUUUUACGAACGUGUCUAA